CUUCGCAGCCUGGAGUCCAGCUGGAGACAGAAGUGGAUGAGGUGUAGGAGUUGUGUUUUCUCCUCUCUUGCUCUGCUACGCACAUUUCUCCUCUUAAUUUCCCUCCAGUCAGCACCACUGAGGAGCCAAGAGUCUUCUUGAUGGGGAACUCUGUUACCCCGAUUCCACCCAGAGCCCUGAGAUGGGCGGGAUGUGCGCGGGCGGCCCCUGCUGAGCUGAAACUCCAAGCCAAGAGCACAAUAAAGUUUGAAGAGCUAGUCUAUGCAGCAGUUUGAGAAGAGGAACCGAUUCCCUCGGAAUUCUUGCUUGAUUUGACCCCUUUAACAGAAGGCAGGGGCACUGACGGCAGCCUCACAGAUCCAUAUAAACCUCAACGGAGAAGCCGAAACAAGGGAGACACCUCUCUGCUUUUGACCUAAUGAGUAAAUCACUGCAUGUCUUUUUCAAAAAAAGGAAUUGCAAGCUGAUUCUGAAUGUCCAGCAGCUUCUGUUGGAACUCAUAGGGCUAAAUGUCUUUCGCAGAGGGCUUUUAUCUCAGACAGAGUUAGAGGCGUGACUUACUGGUUAUUUCCCCUCUGCCUUCACACUGAUAACUCAAAUGAUAAAAUUCUAACAAUCAAAAUCAACAUGUUUUAUUAGCAAAAGAAAAGGCCACUGGGAGUCCUUAUACUGUAUAGAUAUAUCUAUGGUGAAACAUACUUGACAUUUUAGCCAAUCCAUUGUUCUUUUUAUUGAAAACAGGUUCCUGGAUCUCAUACCAUGGAAUAGCUCAGUAGAUGAAAGAAUGAUAUUGAGGCUAGGAUUUUAAAAAAGACCUCUCUAAGCCUUGAUUAAGAAAGAGGGAGAUUCAGCGGAAGGGGAAAGUAGCUAAGAACAUUAGUUAUUAAUUACAAGGAUAACAGGCUGAGUGCGGUGGCUCACGCCUGUAAUCCCAGCACUUUGGGAGGCUGAGGCAGGCAGGUCACCUGAGGUCAGGACUUUGAGACCAGCCUGGUCAACAUGGUGAAACCCUGUCUCUACCAAAAAUACAAUAAUUAGCUGGGCGUGGUGGCACAUGUCUAUAAUCCCAGCUACUCAGGAGGCUGAGGCAUAAGAAUCGCUUAAACCUGGGAGGCGGAGGUUGCAGUGAGCCGAGAUUGUGCCACUGCACUCCAGCCUUGGUGACAGAGUGAGACUUCGUUUCAAAAAACAAAAAUUACAAAGGUGACAAAGUCAGGCCCAAACAUAUUCUGUCUGGGCCUCAGAGAAUCAACCUGUGAAAUCACACAGCCCAGAGGGCCAGGACCUAUCCGUGUAAUUUCCUACUGAAGGCAAAGCAUGAGCAGUUGAUGUAUUUCACCAUAAUUACGCAUGCAAGAGUAUAUGUGGUGUGCAUAUAAUGAGAAUAUUUUUUUCAAAUCCAAACUCAGGACACAUGGCCUGACAAAGGACUUCUAAAAAUUGUUCAUUUUAAACAUAAUAAAACAGACAAAUC
This 1474-nucleotide long non-coding RNA is filed under the name Macaca fascicularis (crab-eating macaque). RNAcentral describes it as "lncRNA (ENSMFAG00000053476.1)". The record is from RNAcentral. Lineage: Eukaryota; Metazoa; Chordata; Mammalia; Primates; Cercopithecidae.